UGUGUGUGUGAUAUGGUAGAACGUAUGUAUUGCUGAAGCCUCGUCUUAUUGUUUUAUUUUACGAUAGAAUGCAUUUAAUUAUGAUAUAUCAGUUAUAGAUUUAGUCAUAGAUCUCGCAAAUUUGUAUUCGGAUGAAGUAUGUAGGUCAAAUGGAUUCAUAUUAUACAGGUGAAUGUGCACGUUACAAUUCCUUCUUGUUUGACUGAUGUUAAUAGAGUCCCCACCUGUCCAAGAACAAAAGAGCAAUGGCUUGUAUCGGAAGAGAAGAAAGGCUGCUCUAGAAUUUCCCUUAAGUGUAAUAACAUGGCUCCUCUCAAAUACCACUGUCUUAUAAAUGCAUGGAGAAAUGCGACAUUUGAGUUAUGUGGCCCCGAUACGGAUAUCAUAGGGUUUUCCUGUGCAGAGUACAACGAAGGAGGGGAAAGGAUUCAACCAAAUUUUGAGAAUAAAUGUGACAAUUUCAGCAACUCCUGUCCAUUCA
Molecule: long non-coding RNA, 481 nt
Organism: Saccostrea cuccullata (small rock oyster)
Lineage: Eukaryota; Metazoa; Mollusca; Bivalvia; Ostreida; Ostreidae
Exons: 3
Source: RefSeq, a predicted model, not a curated record